CUAGGGAAUCUUGCACAAUGGAGGAAACUCUGAUGCAGCGAUGCCGCGUGAGUGAAGAAGGCCUUUGGGUUGUAAAGCUCUUUCAUCGGGGAAGAAAAUGACUGUACCCGAAUAAGAAGGUCCGGCUAACUUCGUGCCAGCAGCCGCGGUAAUAU
This 155-nucleotide ribosomal RNA is filed under the name uncultured Pseudomonadota bacterium. Its description in RNAcentral is "uncultured proteobacterium partial 16S ribosomal RNA". It matches the Rfam family "Bacterial small subunit ribosomal RNA", at positions 354 to 526 of the family's 1533-position model. The record is from RNAcentral. Lineage: Bacteria; Pseudomonadati; Pseudomonadota.